GGGAUCAUAGAACUGCACCAAUACACUCAUCAAUCCUUCGUCCACUUGAGUAGUCAUAAUAGAUAGAAGCUUCCCAAAACGAGACUUGAAACCCAAGGGAUCUAAUACAUAGGAUGUCAAAUUCCUUAGCUCUUUCAAGUCAGGUUGUCUAAAAUUGUACUUCUUCGUAUUCCUUCUUUGUCUUUCCAUGUCUGAAAAUUUUCAAAUAGACCUCUUAAGUUCCUUGAAAAUUUUCUUAUUAUUGAUGGUAUGGAUGCAAAUGGGUGCAUGAAUGCAUGAAUGC
This 283-nucleotide long non-coding RNA is filed under the name Lathyrus oleraceus (garden pea). RNAcentral's name for it is "Pisum sativum (pea) long non-coding RNA (PSAT_LNC036700)". Lineage: Eukaryota; Viridiplantae; Streptophyta; Magnoliopsida; Fabales; Fabaceae. The record is from RNAcentral.